Macaca mulatta (Rhesus monkey) is the source of this 117-nucleotide unclassified non-coding RNA. It matches the Rfam family "Metazoan signal recognition particle RNA". From Rfam's summary of the family: The signal recognition particle (SRP) is a universally conserved ribonucleoprotein. The record is from Ensembl. Lineage: Eukaryota; Metazoa; Chordata; Mammalia; Primates; Cercopithecidae.
GCCAGGCGUGGUGACUCACGCCUGUAAUCCCAGUACUGUGGGAGGCUGAGGUGGGUGGAUCACCUGUGGUCAGGAGUUCGAGACCAGCCUGGCCAACAUGGUGAAACCCUGUCUCUA